RNAcentral lists this ribosomal RNA (983 nucleotides) under Heterosigma akashiwo. Its description in RNAcentral is "partial Eukaryotic large subunit ribosomal RNA". It matches the Rfam family "Eukaryotic large subunit ribosomal RNA", at positions 1 to 923 of the family's 3401-position model. The record is from RNAcentral. Lineage: Eukaryota; Raphidophyceae; Chattonellales; Chattonellaceae.
AUCUCUAUUGAAGCAAGAAGACCCCCUGAAUUUAAGCAUAUAAUUAAGGGGAGGAAAAGAAACCAACUCGGAUUCCCCUAGUAACGGCGAGUGAAGCGGGAAGAGCUCAUGUUGUAAAUCUCCAGCUUGCUGGCGAAUUGUAGUCUAAAGGUGCGUGCUCAGUCGUGGUCCCGGGCUAAGUCUGUUGGAAAACAGCAUCAUGGACGGUGACAAUCCGGUUCUUGCCUGGGGUCCCGCGGCGUACGAGCCGUUUCCGACGAGUCGUGUUGCUUGGGAUUGCAGCACUAAGUGGGUGGUAAAUUCCAUCUAAAGCUAAAUAUUGGUGGGAGACCGAUAGCGAACAAGUACCGUGAGGGAAAGAUGAAAAGACUUUUGAAAAGAGAGUAAAAUAGUACCUGAAACUGCUGAAAGGGAAGCGAUUGAAGUCAGUGUUGCUCCUGGUCUUUUUGCCGUCGCCCCCGUGGGGGUUGCGGCGUGGGGCCUGGAGCGUUUCAACAUGCGUUCUGUUCCGCGGGAAAUGUUCAGUGUGCUGGAACCUUCGGGGAAACGCACUGUUCUUGUCGUGGUUAGGACGGAGGACCUUUGCUCCUUUGACUGCGCGUUCCUCUCUCGGGUAUGCUGGUGUCUACUGCUUGCAGUUUUCAUUUUCAUGCUUGCGACUGUGCGUGUUAUUCAUGAGCGAACAUGAUGUUGAAGAAAUGGCUUUAAUUACCCCGUCUUGAAACACGGACCAAGGAGUCUAACAUGUGUGCGAGUUUUUGGGUGGCAAACCCAUGAGCGUAAUGAAAGUGAAUGCAGGUGGGAUCCGCAAGGAGCACCAUCGACCGGCCCUGAUGUUCUCGGAUGGGUCUGCGUAAGAGCAUAUAUGUUGGGACCCGAAAGAUGGUGAACUAUGCCUGAAUAGGGUGAAGCCAGAGGAAACUCUGGUGGAGGCUCGCAGCGGUUCUGACGUGCAAAUCGAUCGUCAAAUUUGGGUACAGGGG